UGGUCAAGCGAAUAAGCGCACACGGUGGAUGCCUAGGCGGUCAGAGGCGAUGAAGGACGUGGUAGCCUGCGAAAAGUGUCGGGGAGCUGGCAACAAGCUUUGAUCCGGCAAUAUCCGAAUGGGGAAACCCACUGCUUCGGCAGUAUCCUGCAGUGAAUUCAUAGCUGCUGGAAGCGAACCCGG
RNAcentral lists this ribosomal RNA (183 nucleotides) under Xanthomonas campestris pv. zinniae. RNAcentral's name for it is "partial 23S ribosomal RNA". It matches the Rfam family "Bacterial large subunit ribosomal RNA", at positions 1 to 188 of the family's 2925-position model. Lineage: Bacteria; Pseudomonadati; Pseudomonadota; Gammaproteobacteria; Lysobacterales; Lysobacteraceae. The record is from RNAcentral.